ACUCCUACGGGAGGCAGCAGUGGGGAAUAUUGCACAAUGGGCGCAAGCCUGAUGCAGCCAUGCCGCGUGUGUGAAGAAGGCCUUCGGGUUGUAAAGCACUUUCAGUCGUGAGGAAGGUAGUGUAGUUAAUAGCUGCAUUAUUUGACGUUAGCGACAGAAGAAGCACCGGCUAACUCCGUGCCAGCAGCCGCGGUAAUAC
Molecule: ribosomal RNA, 199 nt
Filed under: Vibrio fluvialis
Lineage: Bacteria; Pseudomonadati; Pseudomonadota; Gammaproteobacteria; Vibrionales; Vibrionaceae
Also listed under: 1 other name
Description: 16S ribosomal RNA
Rfam family: Bacterial small subunit ribosomal RNA
Source: RNAcentral